CUCGAGCAAUGCAUGAAUUAAGAUGUCUGAUGUUUUGCUUCUGUCCUCAUUAGCGGGAACAGCUGUUGGCAGGAGUGGAGGAAUUCUAACUCCAGGCUGAAGGAAAACAAAAAGCCUGGGGGGGGGCACAGCACAGCACAUAGGAGGAAUCUGGGGGUUUUGUGGGAUGCUUCCAUGUCUUCCCCAUUGCACCUGGCUCCUACAGCUAUGGAAGCUGCGUGGGCUGGAAGAAGUAAUAAGAAAUGAACAGCAGAGCUGCCCUACAUGGGUCAGCCCCAAGGGGGACAAAAGCAGUCCCAGUGACAGCCCUGAUCCCAACCCCAAAAAGAAAUAGCCCUGUGUGUGGAGGACAGUGCACCAGACACGAUAUUCCCAUAAAGGAGGAGAGGACACCCGGCCGCGCUCCGUCAUUCCGAGCCGCGAACAUACAACAAAAUCACCCUCAUCACAAGAGGGGAAUAUAUAUAUAUAUUAUUUUUUUUCCCUUUUUUUUUUUUUUUUCUUCUUUUUUCUUAUAUUUUCUUUUUUUUUUUUUUUUUGCAUCUCAUGCGAAAUAGUUAAAAAUUAAAAAUUAAAAAGAAGAGAAAAGAAAAACCCCACAAGAGCCCGACGGAGCCCUGCGUUUUGGCACUCCGGGUUACAGCAGUUCUCGUCGGCGUUGA
RNAcentral lists this long non-coding RNA (662 nucleotides) under Phasianus colchicus (ring-necked pheasant). RNAcentral describes it as "lncRNA (ENSPCLG00000020345.1)". The record is from RNAcentral. Lineage: Eukaryota; Metazoa; Chordata; Aves; Galliformes; Phasianidae.